ACUAUCGGCUUGCAAGUCUGUUUAGUUUGAAAUCGAGGCCGAGCUCUUAUCAUCUCGCUCCUUCAUGCGUCGCUCCAAAUGAAUUCGGGAUCCGGGUCCAACAUUAUAUAAAUAUGGUAAAUGAUUUCUCUAACUGGUUUCACUUUCACCCCUUAUUUUAGUUGUAAUUGAGAUCUGACAUUAAAGCUAAAGUUCACUAUGAAAAGGGCUCCAAUGCUUAGAGAAUAUAAAAAAAAAUCAUCACAACUCACACAUAUUGAUAUGCCGACAUAGUGUGACUGAUAAAAAUCAACUGAGGAACAAUAGAGUUUCACUUACGUAAUUAUUUUUUUUUAAAAAGAGAAAGAAAUGGGAAUAGGUUUUUGUGAAAAGUAUAAAAUAAAGAAGCCAACAAGAUGGUUCCCAGAUUUGGGUCUCCCACUUAGCUCUGUUGGAAUCCUAAUUCGAGAGCACCACCUCCUCUAACUACUAGUCAAUUCUCCCAUGCCCCUC
RNAcentral lists this long non-coding RNA (492 nucleotides) under Brassica napus (rape). Its description in RNAcentral is "long non-coding RNA (BNAP_LNC006600)". Lineage: Eukaryota; Viridiplantae; Streptophyta; Magnoliopsida; Brassicales; Brassicaceae. The record is from RNAcentral.